UACGAAGGGGGCUAGCGUUGCUCGGAUUUUACUGGGCGUAAAGGGCGCGUAGGCGGAUGUUUUAAGUCGGGGGUGAAAGCCCGGGGCUCAACCUCGGAAUUGCCUUCGAUACUGGACAUCUUGAGUACGGGAGAGGUGAGUGGAACUCCGGAGUGUAGAGGUGAAAUUCGUAGAUAUUCGGAAGAAACACCAGUGGCGAAAGGCGACUCACUGGCCCGUUACUGA
Molecule: ribosomal RNA, 225 nt
Filed under: uncultured bacterium
Lineage: Bacteria
Description: partial 16S ribosomal RNA
Rfam family: Bacterial small subunit ribosomal RNA
Source: RNAcentral